UACGUAGGGGGCAAGCGUUGUCCGGAUUUAUUGGGCGUAAAGAGCGUGUAGGCGGCCAGAAUAGGUCCGUUGUGAAAACUCGAGGCUCAACCUCGAGACGCCGAUGGAAACCAUCUGGCUAGAGUCCGGAAGAGGAGAGUGGAAUUCCUGGUGUAGCGGUGAAAUGCGCAGACGUAUCAGGAAGAACACCCGUGGCUAAGGC
RNAcentral lists this ribosomal RNA (202 nucleotides) under uncultured bacterium. RNAcentral describes it as "partial 16S ribosomal RNA". It matches the Rfam family "Bacterial small subunit ribosomal RNA", at positions 524 to 722 of the family's 1533-position model. The record is from RNAcentral.